RNAcentral lists this ribosomal RNA (655 nucleotides) under Prevotella intermedia. RNAcentral's name for it is "bacterial SSU rRNA". It matches the Rfam family "Bacterial small subunit ribosomal RNA", at positions 390 to 1045 of the family's 1533-position model. Lineage: Bacteria; Pseudomonadati; Bacteroidota; Bacteroidia; Bacteroidales; Prevotellaceae. The record is from RNAcentral.
AGCCAAGUAGCGUGCAGGAUUGACGGCCCUAUGGGUUGUAAACUGCUUUUGUUGGGGAGUAAAGUGAGGCACGCGUGCCUUUUUGCAUUUACCCUUCGAAUAAGGACCGGCUAAUUCCGUGCCAGCAGCCGCGGUAAUACGGAAGGUCCAGGCGUUAUCCGGAUUUAUUGGGUUUAAAGGGAGUGUAGGCGGUCUGUUAAGCGUGUUGUGAAAUUUAGGUGCUCAACAUCUAACUUGCAGCGCGAACUGGCGGACUUGAGUGCACGCAACGUAUGCGGAAUUCAUGGUGUAGCGGUGAAAUGCUUAGAUAUCAUGACGAACUCCGAUUGCGAAGGCAGCGUACGGGAGUGUUACUGACGCUUAAGCUCGAAGGUGCGGGUAUCGAACAGGAUUAGAUACCCUGGUAGUCCGCACGGUAAACGAUGGAUGCCCGCUGUUAGCGCCUGGCGUUAGCGGCUAAGCGAAAGCAUUAAGCAUCCCACCUGGGGAGUACGCCGGCAACGGUGAAACUCAAAGGAAUUGACGGGGGCCCGCACAAGCGGAGGAACAUGUGGUCUAAUUCGAUGAUACGCGAGGAACCUUACCCGGGCUGGAAUUGCAGACGCAGGAUACAGAGAUGUUGACUCCCUUCGGGGCGUCUGUGAAGGUGGCUGCA